This 502-nucleotide long non-coding RNA is filed under the name Cyanistes caeruleus (blue tit). Its description in RNAcentral is "lncRNA (ENSCCEG00000012374.1)". The record is from RNAcentral. Lineage: Eukaryota; Metazoa; Chordata; Aves; Passeriformes; Paridae.
AUGAGGCAGAAGGAGGUCAGCAAGGUGGGUCUGCCCACAGGCAGUAUGCAGCUGCGACCUGGAUACUGGAUUACCAGAAUGGAUGCCAUGGCAGUUCAGACCAGCUGCUGGGAUAUGCCACUGGCUUGUGACAGAGUUACAGUGAGGAGUGGAGAGUGGAAGAAUGGUGUUCAGGAAACAGUAGGACUGCCAGCUAUGGAUCAUGUGCUAAUUGUUAGGCUAGAAUACAAAUAUACUUCCAUUGAUGAUACCUAUGUGUUUUCAUUCAAAUACUAAGAGGCUGAAUUUUCUGAAUUUUCCAGGUUUCUGAGUUUCUUUUUCCAUUUCCAUCACCCAAUUAAAUAGUCUUCAAGAAGGCAAAUGGCUAUGGUGUACUGGGGUUUUGCAGUUUUCCUCUAAGUUGGGAAAGUUUAAUCUUUCUAUUGGGAAGGGAAAAAUCAGGGGGAUUUAAGCUCACUAAUCAUCACUGAAGGAAUAAAAUAACAGAGGGAAAUAUCUGACA